RNAcentral lists this ribosomal RNA (253 nucleotides) under uncultured bacterium. RNAcentral's name for it is "partial 16S ribosomal RNA". It matches the Rfam family "Bacterial small subunit ribosomal RNA", at positions 524 to 776 of the family's 1533-position model. The record is from RNAcentral.
UACGUAGGGGGCAAGCGUUGUCCGGAUUUAUUGGGCGUAAAGAGCGUGUAGGCGGCCACACAGGUCCGCUGUGAAAACUCGAGGCUCAACCUCGAGCUGUCGGUGGAAACCGUGUGGCUAGAGUCCGGAAGAGGAGAGUGGAAUUCCCGGUGUAGCAGUGAAAUGCGUAGAGAUCGGGAGGAACAUCUGUGGCGAAGGCGACUGCCUGGACCAGCACUGACACUGAGGCACGAAAGCGUGGGGAGCAAACAGG